GACGAACGCUGGCGGCGUGCUUAACACAUGCAAGUCGAACGAAGUGGCGAACGGGUGAGUAACGCGUAAUCAACCUGCCCUUCAGAGGGGGACAACAGUUGGAAACGACUGCUAAUACCGCAUACUGAAGGGGGGGAUUGCGUCUGAUUAGCUAGUUGGAGGGGGAACGGCCCACCCAGGCGAUGAUCAGUAGCCGGGCUGGGAGGAAGGACGGCCAAAUUGGGACUGGGACACGGCCCAGACCUCUACGGGAGGCAGCAGGGGGGAAUCUUCCGAAAUGGACGAAAGUCUGACGGAGCAACGCCGCGUGAGUGAUGACGGCCUUCGGGUUGUAAAGCUCUGUUAAGCGGGAAGCGGUACCGGAAUAGAAAGCCACGGCUAACUACGUGCCAGCAGCCGCGGUAAUUC
This 408-nucleotide ribosomal RNA is filed under the name uncultured bacterium. Its description in RNAcentral is "partial 16S ribosomal RNA". It matches the Rfam family "Bacterial small subunit ribosomal RNA", at positions 28 to 526 of the family's 1533-position model. The record is from RNAcentral.